RNAcentral lists this transfer RNA (90 nucleotides) under Dreissena polymorpha. It matches the Rfam family "tRNA". From Rfam's summary of the family: Transfer RNA (tRNA) molecules are approximately 80 nucleotides in length. Their secondary structure includes four short double-helical elements and three loops (D, anti-codon, and T loops). The record is from Rfam by way of RNAcentral. Lineage: Eukaryota; Metazoa; Mollusca; Bivalvia; Myida; Dreissenidae.
CCCGGAAGAGCUCAGUUGGGAAAGCGUUAGACUGAAGUUGUUAACGCAACAGUCAUCUAAAGGCCCCCGGUUCAAUCCCGGGUUCCGGCA